This 253-nucleotide ribosomal RNA is filed under the name uncultured bacterium. RNAcentral describes it as "partial 16S ribosomal RNA". It matches the Rfam family "Bacterial small subunit ribosomal RNA", at positions 524 to 776 of the family's 1533-position model. The record is from RNAcentral.
UACGUAGGGGGCAAGCGUUGUCCGGAAUUAUUGGGCGUAAAGAGCGUGUAGGCGGUCCGGUAAGUCAGCUGUAAAAGUCAAGGGCUCAACCCUUGAAAGCCGGUUGAUACUGUCGGGCUAGAGUCCGGAAGAGGCGAGUGGAAUUCCCGGUGUAGCGGUGAAAUGCGUAGAUAUCUGGAGGAACACCGGUGGCGAAGGCGGCAUCCUGGACCGGCAUUGACGCUGAGGCGCGAAAGCCAGGGGAGCAAACGGG